RNAcentral lists this ribosomal RNA (749 nucleotides) under uncultured bacterium. Its description in RNAcentral is "bacterial SSU rRNA". It matches the Rfam family "Bacterial small subunit ribosomal RNA", at positions 57 to 802 of the family's 1533-position model. The record is from RNAcentral.
GCAGUCGAACGGCAGCGCGGGAGCAAUCCUGGCGGCGAGUGGCGAACGGGUGAGUAAUGUAUCGGAACGUAUCCUGUAAUGGGGGAUAACCAGUCGAAAGAUUGGGUAAUACCGCAUACGCACGAGAGUGGAAAGUAGGGGAUCGCAAGACCUUACGUUAUAGGAGCGGCCGAUAUCUGAUUAGCUAGUUGGUGGGGUAAAGGCCUACCAAGGCGACGAUCAGUAGCUGGUCUGAGAGGACGACCAGCCACACUGGGACUGAGACACGGCCCAGACUCCUACGGGAGGCAGCAGUGGGGAAUUUUGGACAAUGGGCGAAAGCCUGAUCCAGCCAUGCCGCGUGCAGGAAGAAGGCCUUCGGGUUGUAAACUGCUUUAGUCUAGGAAAAAGGGAUGCCCGGUUAAUACCUGGGUGUUUUGAUGGUACUGGAAGAAUAAGCACCGGCUAACUACGUGCCAGCAGCCGCGGUAAUACGUAGGGUGCAAGCGUUAAUCGGAAUUACUGGGCGUAAAGCGUGCGCAGGCGGUCCUGUAAGACAGUCGUGAAAUCCCUGGGCUUAACCUAGGAACUGCGAUUGUGACUGCAAGGCUAGAGUAUGUCAGAGGGGGGUGGAAUUCCACGUGUAGCAGUGAGAUGCGUAGAGAUGUGGAGGAACACCGAUGGCGAAGGCAGCCCCCUGGGAUAACACUGACGCUCAUGCACGAAAGCGUGGGGAGCAACAGGAUUAGAUACCCUGGUAGUCCACGCCC